UGACCAUAAUGUGGUGGCUUCUCUCCCUUAGGUGGUUUGCCAACUGGGGUUGGUGGCUUGUUUUCUGGGAGUGGCUUCUCUCCCUUGGGUGGUUUGCCAACUGGGGUUGGUGGCUUGUGUUCUGGGAGUGGCUUCUCCCCCUUGGGAGGUUUUUCGAAUGGGGUGGGUUUGUGUCCUGGUGGUGGCUUCUCUCCCUUGGGAGGUUUACCAAUUGGGGUCGGUGGCUUGUGUUCUGGGAGGGGCUUCUCUCCCUGGGGAGGUUUAGUGGGUGGCUUGUGUUCUGGAGGUGGCUUCUCCACCGGAGGCUUAUGCUCUGGUGGUGGCUUCUCGAAGGGGGGAUGCUCAGGGUAAUCACCAAGUGAGGGGGUGGUGAGAACCACCAUGCCAAGCAACAACACUAGCAAGUAUGUAGUAGACAUCUUUGGGUUUGGACUCAGACAGUGCAAAACUACGAGAAAUCGCUAGCCCUUUAUAGCGGCUCGGACCUAAUACUGACAUAAUAUAAAAUAAAUAUUAUAUUUUAUCAAGAGAGAACAGAGUGUAAUUUUAUCAUUAAUACCGAUCGAGGCCAAAGAAAGAAGACCCAUAAUCCAUUUCCCACAAGCAUACACAAUGCAGCUGUAAUUUUAUCAUUUACUUUUAUCCCUUGGACCACUGCAUUUUUGUUGAGAGACACAAUAACACAUUUUUAUCUGUCAUUCAACAUUUACAGUAAAGAGAGGGCACAAAACGCAAUUAGAUAAAUUAUGUUUUGCCUGCUAAAAAGAGGCAAAUAACUUUAUUUGCAACAUAAUUAUUUUGGUUUCUAGUGACCCCGGGGCCUUUCGGUUGGUUUGGGAUCGGAAAAUGAACAUCAUAGGGGGGGUUGUGCCCUUAUGGGCAUAUAUAUCUGAUAGCUUCAACUGGCCUUGUUCCUAGAAAGAAAUUGCCAAAGAUAUAAACUUAUUCCAGGCUGAAAGUAGAUGAGAGUCAUAAUGAACAUCAACCUUUGUUCAGUUUGAUUCAAUGCCCCCAUAGUGUUCAUUUCACAGAUCUGAAUGAUUAUAUCCGUUGAAUACAUAAAUUAAUGAAGACAAAUAUGAAACCCAAGAUACAUCUCUGCAUAACAACCCCAACCCUGGUUGCUAUGUUUCCCUUCUUCUAUUCACAUGAGGAUACUGGUUAUAAUUGUCAAACUUGCAACAAGCCCUUUGACACCUAACGUCAAUGGACGAAUUAAAAGUCUCCUUCAAACGUCUAUUUCACAGCAUGAAGCUUAUAAAGGAUGCUGACAACCUUCAGAGUUAGCGACAAAAGAUAAUUAUCAAGGAGAGAUAGUUCCAUGAGAAUUCCAAGGAGUCUGAAUCAAAGACAAAUUGCUCACUCAAGGGUUCUUAUUUUCUUUUAGGUACAAAUCUCUUGAGUGUUGUUAAAGAAACACGUCACUGUCAUUUUGAUUUGCAUUUAACAUUUCACUUUUGUUCUGGAAGGUUUGUUCCGGAAACAUAUCAAAUGAGCAUCAUUUUCUUCUUCGGUGACACAUGGUCGCGAGUACGUGGGUCCAUUUUCAUGCCACUUAGUUGAAAAGUUGGAAAGAAAAAACAUGCCAACAAGAAGAUAGUGAGAGAAGGGGCACUUCAAGCCUUUAACAUGAACAAACAGUAAAUAAAAGAUGUUUCUCCACUCAUAAAAGUGUGUUAGAUAGCAAUAUAACGAAUCACAUCCAAAAUCUUUACUAGGCUCAAACAUAAAGAAGACUCAUUUUUAAGAAAAGAUAAAAAUGGCAUUGUCUGAUAGUAUCCAAUACACGAGAUGGCACUUAAUUUGUACAAGAUCUGUCAAUGCUGACGCACAUUUUCUGAUUAAAAAAAAACUGAUCAGUCAAAAGCAAUGAAGAGAAGUGAUGACAAUGAAUGAUGCUUCCAAUAUUUUCACCCCUUAUAGUGUUCUUCAUGAUUCAGAUAUAUAAUUGGAAAUAGAACAACCCUAUGCCAUACAUUCGUCUAAGUAUGGUGUCUAAUUUUUUGUGUCAGCGGUUGCGAAUGGAGCGUGCAAAAGUCCAAAUUGGCGUCUCUCCAUUUCCACAUAGGAAGGUGACCUUUAUUGACAAAUACCCAAUAUUUGUAGACAUUCCUUAAAUAUCAUAACUUCUUGUUGAUUUGAAAAUCAUUUUUCAACUACCAUGUUUUAAUAAAUAUUUUUUAAAAUGUAUUUUUAUCAAAGUCCACCAUGAUGGAUAAUAUUCACCAUGCAAUAAUUAAUAAAGUACAAACUAAGCGAAAUGAAAAGCAUUUUCUUUGCUUUGAGUUGAUUUUGGUUGCAUUGAGUUGAUUUUGGUUUCAUGGUUUUUUCAACUCUUAUUUUGAUUGGAAGAUGUCAAGAAAAGAAAACAUAAAGAAAAAUUAAAAGGGAAAAAAGAAGAAAAAUAAAAAAAAAUAGAUUUAAAAGUUAAUAAAUUAUUUUUUAUAUUUAUUUUAAUUCAUUUCACUUAUUUUUCUUUUACUAUAUAAAAUUUAAAUAAUUUAAAUUUUAUAAUUAAUUUAAUUACAUUUCAUUUUCUUCUAUAUUUAAAUAUUGGAAAAAUAUUUUACUUAAUAUUUUUUUCUUUAAUUUCUUUGGCAUUUUGGGAACCAAACUUAGCCUUUAAAAUAAAAAACAAAAAAAAAAUGAAAAUAAGGAGGGAAAAGUGAGAAAAGAUAAAAACAAUAUGUAAAGGAUUUGAAAAGUAUUAGUUUGUAAUUACUAUUUGGAUUUCAAUAGUAUUUUAUUUGUCUUUCUAUAUUUCAUGUAAGAGAGAAUUUAAGAUAUUCCCCAAGGCAAAGCAUUAGUUACCUGCAAUCAGUGGUGAUAAGGCUCCAAGCCAAUUUUGGGCCCCAUAUCUUAAGACAGUACAAUUUCCAUUUCAACAUUUCUGAUUUCUCAGAUGUUUCACAUACCACAGAAGAACAUUGUUUGUGAAAAUAUGCAUUUAUGUUGGAUUUUGUAUGCUGUGGGGACUGGGGCAAGGAUCAUAUGGAAGAGUGGUUGACUUUUUCUGUACUUUAACGGUUGAAAUAGGAUAAGCACGGGCAUUUGUGAGGCUUAAUUGAUUUUGAAGCCUGAAAUUGCGUUUCUGUCAUUUUGUCAAAAAAAUGGCAGAUUCCAUACUCAUAUGUUUGGCCUGUGGCCAUGUACAGAUGCCAUUUAGUGACCAGUUUGUAACUGUCAAUCGUUGCGUUUUGACUCUGCCUCAACAACAUCUGCCAUUGACGGGUUUUCAUACUUGCAAAUCAAAUAGUCUUUCGUCCCAUCAGGAAUUUCGGUUUAAAUAUUAUUAAGCAUACGUUUGGCUGACAAUCAUUAUCCAGUUCAUGAUUUGGUUUCUUACCCUUAAUCAAUGGUUUCUAAGUGAAUAUAUGUAGAAGGAAAUCCGAAGUGUAGACAGUAGUAUCGAUAACUCUCAAUAUUCUCUAUAUAAUAGAAUAAACAGCGUCAUAGUGAUCGUCGCCUACAAGCAAGGUACAAAUACCAAAACGAGUGACUCACAUAGACAUCUCCCAACAAGAUGUAGUAGUGACUGACACAUGGACACAAUUAACUCGUAGAAAAGGAUAAGACCAUUGCACAGCAGCUCUUAUUUUACAUACUACUUAUGCUAACCAAAGUCAAUUAGUUGGGAUGGGUGGGAGAUGGAGGUUUGUGCGGUGGCUUGUGGGGCGGAGUUGAUGGCUUCUUUCCAGGAGCUUCUGGCUUUUUCAUCGGAGCUGAAGGAGGCUCAAUCUUAUGAGGCGGCUUGUAUGAGUCUUCUUUACUCUCGACAGGAGGGUGGCCAGGGUUGUGAUCAUAAUGUGGUGGCUUCUCUCCCUUAGGUGGCUUGCCAACUGGGGUUGGUGGCUUGUGUUCAGGAAGUGGUUUCUCUCCCAUGGGAGGUUUAGCAAUUGGGGUUGGUGGCUUGUGUUCUGGGAGUGGCUUCUCUCCCUUGGGAGGUUUAGUAGGUGACUUGUGUUCUGGAGGUGGCUUCUCCACCGGAGGCUUGUGCUCCGGUGGUGGCUUCUUGGUUGGAGGGGGCUUGGGGUAAUCAGCAAGAGAUGGGGUGGUGAGAACCACCAGUCCAAGGAACAACACUAGCAAGUAUGUGGGAGACAUUUUUGAGUUUGGGCUGAUCAGAUGAUGCAAAACUAAAGCAUUACGUGACCUUUUAUAGCAUGUAGCUCCCAAUACCCACUAAGUAUUGUGGGGUCCAUUUGUGCCCUACGGGGUUGAAAACUUAGACAAUUGGGCAAGGACCCACCUGACUAUGGAGGACUAGUGAGGUGUGAUCAUAGCUUUAGGAUUUUUCUUCCUCUGCAGCCGUCGUGCCGUUGGCAUGAUUUUCUUAAUCUUAAAUAAAGGCAUAGUUAUAGAGUUGUUUAAUCUCUAAAUGGGAUUUUAUAUAUAUCUUCAGAUAGCCAUUAAUAUAUUUGAUGAAGAAAGAAAGACAAGUGCAUACAACAUGUAUACGACUAGCUUUCAUGGAGUUCAUUUAUGAUCAGUUUUCCUGUACAUGUAAACCAGGAUCAUAUAUAUGUUUCUGUUCCACAACUAUUUUGGAAUCUUGUUUAUCAGUUUUUAUCAUUAUAAUGUCACAUAGGCUGCCAACUUGGGCGCUAAAAGAACCAGUUGGGCUAGUUCGUUUCAGAAUUUCAAUGUGGAUUCAGGAAUUGUUUUGUAAGAUAUGCGAAAUAGUAGAGGGAUGAAUAGUGUUUCAUUAAUAAAAGUGUCCUGUAAAUUAGAAGGUGUCAUAGAAACUAUAAUCAAUAAAUAACUUUUUUUCCCCACGGGUGGUGUUUCUUGUGGGGAUCAGUGACUGGUUUAGGUUCACCCAAAAUGAGUUCAGACUAAAAUUGGUUUGAGUCAAUGCCGUGUCUCUUUUUUCCAGAAAUCAACUAUUUUAUGCAUUGAAUAAAUCAUACAAAGAAAAUAUGAACGCCCGCAAAACCUAAACCCUGGUUGCUAACUUUCUAUGUUUCAGUUCUAUUCACGCAAGAAUAUUAGUUUAAGUUUGGGAAAAAUGGCAACUUACCUAGUGAUUACUUGGUUUUGGUUUGCGACUAUUUACGCAACCAACCAUGAGUUUGACUUUAACGUCAUGGGUUGAAGCCUCCUACAGGAAGGGAGAAAGCUCCACAGCUAGCUCCAAAAGAGAAUUAUCACAUUGAUAGCUCCAGAGAUUCCCAAGGGGACUGAAUCAAAGACAAGUUCCUCACUUUUUCUUCUUUUGAGGCCAAAUAUGAACCAAGGAUCACACAACCUCAUUCAACUUCAUAAGUUUGAUUUCAUGCAGUUGAACACUGGGUGAAGGCCAUGACAAGAAUUGAUUCAAAAAUUCUAUCACUCUUUUAAGUAAUGGAAGAUUAUUAUCUCUGAUUGGCAUCACAACAGCACAUGCUCCUAGAUCUUUCUAGACACUCCAUGCAAUGAAAGCACAAUGGAUCUUGUAACGAUAGAAACUAAGCCAUGCUACAGUACUAGAUGAUGAGGUAAAACUAGUAGACACGGGUGGCAGCCUAUAUGGGAGGGACACAAGUCUAAUUGAUUUGCAUUUCAGCAUUAUAGAUAGGUAUGUUUUGGAAGAUUUGUUCUGGAAAUACCGCACCAAGUAGGAUUCUUUUUCUCUUUAGUGGGUCCACUUGCAUGCCAAUUAACGAGUUGAAAAGUAUGAGCACCUACCUCGUGCUCGUGGAACCGAAGGUCAGUGAAGUGGGGCUCCUUUUGGCCUCGUGUAAACUUGAUUCAGAAGUGAAGUUAAUAGUCUUCCAUUCAGAUGGAUACAUGGGAAUUUUUCUCUUUUAUUUAUUUAUUUAUUUUUUUUUUGUGUGUGUAUGUCAAAGGAUAAUGAAUGAAGCGCGUUAGCUUGUUUUCUGACUGGAACCGCAGAUGUCCAAAUUGGAGUUCCUUCAUUUCUUACUUAGGAUUGUUACAUGUAUAAACAAGGUAUAAGAAAUAUGCCAACGUGUCUUGAGGAGUUAUUGAUUAGAAAUAACAAGUCACCCGACUGUAGAGUUCCAAGAUUUGAAUCUUCAGACCCUAUAGCAGCCUCUGGGGUACGUGGCAUCCUAUAGCAUAUUAAUGAAGGCUUUUUCGAUUUAGACUUCACAAUACCAAUUAAUAUGUAUGCACAAAAUGGAGAUGACCCCAAAAAAAACAGAAUCGCCAUAGUUUAUGAGGUUAAGGUGAUUCUCCACUUAAUAUCUACAUUAGCUAAUUAUGUAAAUCAAAUGAACUUCUAUUUUUCCUUUUUUUUUUUGGUUUAUGUCAAAUAGUAGCCCAUAAUUAACCCAACCAUUAGCCUGUUUGAAUUGAUUUCACAUGCACAAUGUUGUAGUAGUUCAUAUUUUGAAUUUUAUUUUUACAAAGGUAGUUAAGGAAAAUGAAGUAUAAUAAUUAUAAAAGCAGACUAUAUACACUACAAUAAUUGUUAGAAUGGUAUCUCAAAUUCUAAUUUAAAAUAUUAUUUUUUGUAAAAGAAAUAUUAUAUAGAAUAUUUCCUAAUUUUAUAAAUGAUUAUAAUUAGAUCUUUAUAAAAUAAGGAAAGUUGGUAAGAAUAUCUUUAUAAAUAUUUUAGGUCAUGAGAGAAAGAAAUGGGAUAAAAAUGUGAUGAAGAGGUGAAAUAAGAGAGUUGAUUAGGAUAUAGAUGUGAAGAAGAAAGGGAUUCAAUAUAUAUAUAUCUUUCAAUUACCACAUUAAAACCCUGUGAACCUUUUAUAUGGUUUACUUUAUUUUUAUAUUCCUCCUUUAAUAUAUUUACAUUAAUGCUUCCAUUGGCACAACAAUAACGAAUUACAAAUACAAGCAACAAGUCCCAUGUUUUAUUACCAAAAGCAGGUAAAAUCCACCUAAUAUAUUACAAUAUAUUCAUCCAAUAUUUUAGACCAAUUCUUCACCAUAAAUAUCAUAAUGUGGCUUUUGUUCUUUCUUAAAUUUAAAUUGAAUUGUCUUAUAUCAAUUUGUUUGUGAUUUUUUCAUUAACUUCACUUUCAUUUGGUUAUCUUUGGUUUUUGAAAAGUAUUAAGGAAUUAAUUAACAAAAUAAUGUUAAGAAAAAUAAUUUUCUCUCUUUUGAUUUUGAUUUUGUAGUAGAAAAAUAUAAUUAAAAUUAUUUAAAAAGUAUGUAAUUUUAAAUUAUUUAAUAUUUAGAUAAAAAAAAUAAGUCUAAUGAGUUUAAAAUAACAUAUAAAAAUAAUUUAUUUAUUUUAAAUUUAUUUUUUAUUUUCCAUUAUGUUCUCUUUCUCUUUUACUUUUUCAUAUUUUUUCUUACGAAGAAUCAAACACAACCUCAUAUUAUAUGUCAAGUGUUUGUCUAUAUUUGAGCAAUGUUAGAUACGGCCAUGGAUUCAUCAAACUAAACUGAUUUUAAUAGAUACUUCACAAAUUGAUUUAUACACUAAAUCAUUGGAUAGCAAUGAUGCAUUGGAAUUAAACGUAGGAUGAAGCUCGAAGAACACUGUUUGUGUAACAACAUAUUUAUGAAAUUAUGCAAAGGAUGAGCUUCGGGGUAGUAGUACAAGGUCAUUAAUGGAGAGCCGUGUUAAACCUUGAUUGUGAUUGGAUUCCGUUAUCAGCAACAGCAACCUUGUUUGUAACCUUGAAAGUCAUUCUGUCCACAUCGAAACUCCAAUUUGACGUUUGUAAUUACCAUUCCUGGAGUGUUCCUUGAUUGAAAUUUAAAUAAUAAUUGCGGCCCACAAGGAAUAUUUUCGAUUCUGUGGGAAUUUGACAAGGUUUGUUAGAGAAGACUGGUGACAUGUUGACUUCAAUGGUUCAAAUAGGAGACGUAUGUGGAUUUGGGGGGUUUAAUUGAAACUGAGUCCCUAUGGCUUUUUAAUAUUUGCAUUGAGCAGUCUCCAUGUGACUUCCUAAUUCCCACCAACCCUCCUGUCCAUGCUGUGAAACUAAAUUGUAAUUUAUCAGCCUUUGUCAAUGGUUUCUAAAUUAAAGAUAUAGACCAUGCAUGUACUUUAAUAAAAGCAAAUCUAAAGUGUAGAUAGCAGCAAUGGUGACACCCAAUAUUCUCCAUAAAAUAGAAUUAGAAUAAGCAGUGUUACAUUGUUCAUGAUCACCUACAAGCAUACAAGAACUUCCAUGAAUAACUCAUAGCAAUUGCCAACAGGGCGUCGUAGAGACUCAUACAUAGAACACUAUCCACCCAGAGGAAAGGACAAGACCAGUGCGCUGCAGCUCUUAUUUUUCACAUGUAUACCACCACUCGUAAUAACCAAAUUCACUCAGUUGGGAUAGGUGGGAGAUGGUGGUUUGUGGGGUGGCUUGUGGGGAGGAGUUGGAGGAGGCUUUAUUUUCUGAGGCGGCUUGUAUGAGUGUGCAGGAGGAUGCCCGGGAGUGUGACCAUAAUGUGGUGGCUUCUCUCCCGUAGGUGGUUUGCCAAAUGGGCUUGGUGGCUUCUCUCCCUUAGGAGGUUUACCAAUUGGGGUUGGUGGCUUGUGUUCUGGGAGUGGUUUCUCUCCCUUGGUAGGUUUGCCAAUUGGGGUUGGCGGCUUAUGUUCUGGGAGUGGCUUCUCUCCCUUGGGAGGUUUGCUAAUUGGGGUUGGCGGCUUAUGUUCUGGGGGCGGCUUCUCUCCCUUGGGAGGUUUGCCAAUUGGAGUUGGCGGCUUAUGUUCUGGGAGUGGCUUUUCUCCCUUGGGAGGCUUGCCAAUUGGGGUUGGCGGCUUAUGUUCUGGGGGUGGCUUCUCUCCUUUAGGAGGUUUGCCAAUUGGAGUCGGCGGCUUAUGUUCUGGAAGUGGCUUUUUUCCCUUGGGAGGUUUGCCAAUUGGGGUUGGCGGCUUAUGUUCUGGGGGUGGCUUCUCUCCCUUGGGAGGUUUGCCAAUUGGAGUCGGCGGCUUAUGUUCUGGGAGUGGCUUCUCUCCCUUGGGAGGUUUUGUUGGUGGCUUGUGUUCUGGAGAUGGCUUCUCCCCUGGAGGCUUGUGCUCCGGAGGUGGCUUCUGAAAUGGCGGGGGCUUGGGGUAAUGAGCAAGAGAUGGAGUACUGGUGAGAACCACCAUUCCAAGCAACAAUACUAGCAAGCAUGUGGGAGACAUCUUUGAGUAGUUGUAGCUAAGAUGGCGCAACACUGUAGGCAUUGGGUGGCCUUUUAUAAAGGGCUGGACCCAACAGCCAUAUGACACGUGUCAUGAUGACAAAUGAAGUUGAGGGGAUCCAGAUGGGUCCUACUGAGUCGAAAACUUGCACUAAUUGAUCUGGUGAGAUGACUAUUUCUGUCCUUUUGCCCUUCUCGGCCACCCUGUGCUGUUUUCCUUUUGCACGAUUUUCGUUGCCAAACAAGCAAAUAAUAUUUCGCCAAGAAAGAGGAGAGUGAAUGUGGAAUGCAUCAAGUCCCAUCAAGGAUGGCAGAGAAGAAAUAGAAGAUUGCCCAACUGUGAUAAACAUAGCAUACACGUAGCACCAGGAACUUCAUUUACUUCCAUCUAAUGGAACAUAACAAUCUUCUAAAGUUUUUGCAUGAUUUUGUUAUAUGUCUCUUAGCCUAAAGUUGGAAAUGCGCAACAAAUUUUGUCACUUCUCUAUUUCCCACUGAUGAUGUUAAUUAGCCUUCAUAGAUAUCAUCCUUUCUACAAAGUGCUUCAUUUGUGUGUUAUUGUAAAGUGUAAGAAAAGUAAUUGAACAUGUUCUUUUUCCUUUCAUAGAUGACUUUUGAUGUGCAUUUUAAAAGCAGCGCUGUGAGUCGGUGACCUUGAUUCACACGGAAACUAAGGCUCCUAUAGGACCCACUUUUAGCUGGUUAGGGGUGAAGAAAAUAUCAACUUUUCAGAGUGAUUUAAGUCAAGGCCAAGCCUCACUGUGUCAUUACUCGUGUGAAUUUUAUAUGCACAUACAUACAUAAAUAAAGUAUGAGACCCAAAUAACACCUUCCCUUUACAAACUUAACCCCAGCCGCUCUCUUUCAAUUCUUUUCACACAAGGGUAUUGACUCUAUAAAGGUCAAGAAAAUCAUAAUUUCCUAGGGUUUACAAGGUAAUUGGCUUAAUGCUAAUGUGAAAACAUAAAAGAUAAUAGUAUAUUGUAAGCUAACGAAUAUUCUAUAGUUAUAAUUAUUUGUGAUGUGCAUAAAUAAAUCUUCAUAUAUAUAAUGGAACAAUGAAUAAAGAACCAAUGAAAAAAUACUAUAUAUCAUUGCUUGGCAUUUAAACCGUAUAUGCUGCUCUUUCUAGCUACUCCAUCCACUGAAAGACAACAAGGUAAUCCAUGUUAUAAUGAUAGAAGAUACUGUCUCUAGGCUUUUUGUGAUGAAAAAUAUAAGAUAUGGGUAGGGUUGACCCUUGUAUGUUUGUCCUAUAAACACUUCAAAGUAACAUAUUUUUCUUCUUUAGCAACUCAUAAUGAUGGGGUUCAUUUGCAUGUCACUGAGUUGAAAAGUUGGACAAUUGCCCAUGUCGCCUUCCUCCUAGAUUCCGUAGUUCACGGGAAGGUAACUCAAGUUUGACAUAUUUUGAAUUCUUUUCACUCGGACGUCUUCAUAACCUGACAAAACAAAAAUGAAAAACAGAGGAUUGGUAUAUUAUUCAUGGUAAGCCUCAAAUUAUAGUAGUAUGAGAAAGGAGAAAAAGAUUUUGGGAACUCCAAUCUGGAUAAUUCUCGUUUCUUCUCUUGAAUAAAAAUUUCACUUACCUAACUUCGUUUGGAGAAAUGGCAUAUUUUAAUUUUGUACGUCAUUGCUAAUAAAUGGAGCAAUUUAGCAUGUUUUGUGACUGAAACUGCAAAUGUCCAAUUGGCAUUUCUUCAUUUCCCACUUAGGAUCUGAUCUUGUAGACCAUAUAACGAUAUGUAUCUGUGCAAGCAUUGAAAACUAAUGUGAACUAUGAGGAGUUACAAGCCACUGGACUGUAGAGCGAGUGCCAAGAUUUAAAUCUUCAGGCUCUAUCUGGGUAAGGGGAGGAUAGCGACCUAACCUUUUACCAAAGGCUUAGAAUUUAGACUUUUGGAAAAAAAUUUCUCAUGUUUUGGCUGGAUUUCUUGUGCUUGGCGCAAAAAGGAGAUGGCCUCAAGAAAUAGCAGACUCACUUUUGUUUUCAGCCCUUAAUAAUUCUCCACUGCUUUCCAUAACUACAUGGGUUAUACAUGCAGUCUGCUGCAAUAUUCCAGUUAUAUUUAUUAUUUCAAAGAGGGUGAAUGACUUCACAUGCAAUAUGUUGCAGUAACAACCCAAAUUUUGGCACACCAUCUUAAGAAUAGAAAAGUAUAAUAAAAGAAAUCAAUCAGAGAAUCACUUUGCAUGCAGUUCAUAGAGUUCGCCCAAAAUGGAGCCACAUGUACGGACAACCCCACAAUAGACAAUCUUCUCUAUACAGUAAUAAAAUACAGAAAUGGUUAAUGAAGCUCUGUAUUUCCUUAUCAUAUAUGACCGGUUGAAAACUCAGCAAGUCUUCCUCAAUCACAGACAGUUGGAGUUGCUUCAUCAAAAUCAUGCCUUCAUUACUGGCUUCAUUUUGGUUUCAAUGUCUGUUCUACCCUUAAAUUGGGUCUCUGCUUACUACCGGGAUAUCCUUUAGCGUCCUGCAAUUCUACUAGAUUAAAGAGAAUGACUUAAUUCUGCAUUCUGCCGUCCCUAGUCCAAGUGGUACUAGAAUUGAUGUUUCCUUUAGUGUCCUUUCUUCAUACUUUCAGGUUCUUCCCUUGUUUCAAUAAUGCUGUUUUCCUUCAUGUUUAACCUCUGUUGAACCACUUAAAACAACACAAUUUGCACACCAAUGUUUCUUUACAGAAAAGACUGUUUGCAAAAAUGCACAUGUUAUAAGGUUAAUGGAAGAAUUAAUUUGGGGAUAAGGGACUAGGAUUGGGCCAAUGAAGUUUGGUGUUAAAUUUUGAUUAUGAUUGCUUUUCAUUAUCAGGUACCUUAUAUUUGCUGAUGCUAUCUGGAACUAAAUUCAAAUCAGACAUUAUCCGAUUACUAACAGGACAUAUCAUGUCCCUCUGCAGAGUUUCUAAACUAACAUGUAUCGAAAUGUGGCCCCAAAAGGAAGGCUAGGAAGAUGGAGGAUUUUGUAGGAAUCGACCAGAAUCAGAUGGAAGAGAGAUAGUCCUGUUGACUUUAAUGGUUGUGAUAGGAACAUGCAUCAUUAUAUGAGAAGUUGCAUGAAUUUAUGUAUCCUGUUAUCGUUCCUUGACGAUUUCCCAAUGCAAUUUCACUGUCCACAAGACUAACCUCUCCAUGCAGUCAAAUGAAUUGUAAUUUCUCUAUUGGUACCAGUAGUACAUUUCAUACCAAACAUAUAGUAAAUAUAAAAUAUAAAUAGAUCAAGGAAAUCUGAAUUGUAGAUAGCACUGCAAGUAACACUCAAUAUUCUCUAUAUAUAAUAAAAUAAACAGUGUCACAAUACUCAUCACCCAGUGGCAAGGGAGAAAAACCUACAAUGAGUACUCAAAUCACCAUUCUCAAACAGAAACAUAGCAGUGACUGAUACAUAGAACCUAUAUGCUCACAGGGAAAGAAUAAGAUGACCAGUGCACAGCGGGCAGCAGCUCUUAUUUUACGUACAACUCAAAUCCCAAACUAACCAAAGUCGCUCAGUUGGGAUGGGUGGGAGAUGGUGGUUUGUGGGAUGGCUUCUGGGUAGGAGCUGGUGGCUUCUGUCCCUUUGGUGGUUUGCCUAAUGAGCUUGGUGGCUUGUGCUCCGGGAGUUGUUUCUCUCCCUCGAGUAGGUUUCGAGUCUUGUCAGAUGGCUUGUGUUCUGGUGGUGGCUUCUCUCCCUGGGGUGGUUUGCCGAAUGGGCUUGGUGGCUUGUGUUCGGGGAGUGGCUUCUCUCCCUGGAGAAGGUUACGAGUUUUGUCAUAUGGCUUUUGUUCUGGUGGUGGCUUCUCUCCCUGGGGUGGUUUGCCGAAUGGGCUUGGUGGCUUGUGUUCGGGGAGUGGCUUCUCUCCCUGGAGAAGGUUACGAGUUUUGUCAGAUGGCUUGUGUUCUGGUGGUGGCUUCUCUCCCUGGGGUGGUUUGCCGAAUGGGCUUGGUGGCUUGUGUUCGGGGAGUGGCUUCUCUCCCUGGAGAAGGUUACGAGUUUUGUCAGAUGGCUUUUGUUCUGGUGGCGGCUUCUCUCCCUGGGGUGGUUUGCCAAAUGGGCUUGGUGGCUUGUGUUCGGGAACUGGCUUCUCUCCCUUGGGAGGUUCAGUUGGUGGCUGCUGUUCCGUAGGUGGUUUCUUCACCGGCGGCUUGUGCUCCGGAAGCGGCUUCUCUACCUGGAGAAGCUUACGAGUUUUGUCCGAUGGCUUGUGUUGUGGUGGUGGCUUCUCUCCCUGGGGUGGUUUGCCAAAUGGAGUUGGUGGCUUGUGUUCGGGGAGUGGCUUCUCUCCAUUGGGAGGUUUAGUUGGUGAUUGGUGUUCCGUAGGUGGUUUCUGAAGUGGGGGAUGCUUGGGGUAGUCAGCAAGAGACGAGGUAGUGAGAACCACCAGUCCCAGCAGCAACACUAGCAAGCAUGUGGAAGACAUCUUUGAGUUCAGGCUGAGAUCUGUGCAAGGAUAACAGAAUUAGGUGGCCUUUUAUAGAGGCCUGGACCCAACACCCAUAUGACACGUGUCAUGCACUCAUGGUGACACAUAAUUCUAUGGGACCAUUUGGGUCCUACAGAAGUUGCAAAGUUGGACUACUGAGGUGUGAUCACAACUUUUGUCCUUAUUGCUUUCUCUGCGGCCAUUGCACGAUUUCCUUUAGCAUCAUUUUCUUGGCUAAAUAAGCGUAUUAUAUUUGUGGCAGACCGUCCACGUGUCAUAAACAGAUAUAUUAUAAUAAUGUAGUAUGCUUUUCUCCAAUGGAACAUGACACUCUUCUAAGUCUUGUUUUAAAUAUUGUGCAGGAUUACUUUAUACGUUGCAGUUCCAAGUCAAAAUUGGUGGGCAAACGUUGGCCUUUUUUCAUUUCACCUAAGAUUAAUGCUCACCUGGGAUAGGCACUACAUGACUUAUCUGCUCUUUUACUGUAAAGUUGCUUUGUGUAUGAGAUACACCUCCCCUGCACACCCUCAACAUUCGUUGCUCUGUUUUCCUUGUGUCCAGACGAGGAUAUUAAUUGGAGGCUGACAAAACGACUGCUAGCCCAGGAUUUACAAGGUCCUGGUUUGAGGCUUCGGUGAAAGUAUUUUUGAAAAGACACACAUAGAGAUAGUGCGUUUGGUGCAAUGCAGCACUGUGAGCCAUUCUGACGCGUUCUUAAUUUCAAAACUAAUGAAUGCUUCAAAAUUUUAAGAAGUGACAUUUCCAAAUAUUUGAGUUCGUUUAAUUGAACAUUGGAUAACUAGUGAUCAUAGAUUAUUAUCUGUGCUUGGCACUAUAAGAGGGUAUAUGCUUCUUUUUCUGGCCCCUCCUUCAAGGGAGGAGGGACAAUGUGAUCUGUAACGUUAGAAGCUAUUCCAUGUCAUCUUUGGGCUCAGUUCAAAACUAAAAGAUAAUGGGGGGGGGGGGGGGGGGCAUAUCAUUUUAUAUUUCUUCUAGAAGGUUUGUUCUGGAAAUAUUUCACAGGAGCAUAUCUUUUUCUUCUAUUACGUCAUCCGCAGCCUCCAAUAGGUCGGUUAACAAGCCACCGAGUUGAAAAGUUGGAAAAAUGGGAACACAGCCCGCCUCUUGUAUUCAGUAGUUAAAUAAAAGGUCACUAGAAGUGAGAUCCCUUUUGGCGUCUUGAUUUUCAAUCCAGCACCUCUGUGACCUGACAAACCAAAAAAACUAAAAAAUAAAAAACAGUACGUGGGUUGGUGUUAAGCAUCAAGACAUGUUAAUGAAAGAAGGUAGAGAAUAGGAUAUUGAAAUCCCAAUCCUGAUAACAUGAUUUUCUUUGCUAACAACCAUAUUAUAUUUUAUCAAGAAAGAGUAAUGCAUGUGGCGUCCAUCAAGACCCAUUAGAGUUCCGCUAAAGCUAUAGUUCUGUCAACGUUAUCAUUUACGUUUCCUCUAGAUAAUGGCAUUUUCCUCUAAAGCUCUUGCACCAUUAGGCUUCAAGUCAAAAUUUCACAUGUGAACUUUGGAAAUUUUCUCCAUUUGCCCCUAAGGAUACAGUUAGAAUUGACUUAAAAUCCUGAUUGAUAUGUACUAUUAACCAAAGAAUAUUGUAUAUAAUAAUUGAAAUAUUGUUGAUUCAUCGUGGAAAUACAUUUUGUAAGGAAAGUUGUUGAGAAUUUAGUAUGCUAUAUGGAGAAAAAAGUCAUGACUUAAGGUUGUGUAUGUAUAUUCUAUAUCAAAUAUUAGGUAGGAAUGUGGGAAAGAGCAGAGUGUAAUGAUAAGAAACAAAGAAAUAUAAGAUAUUCUUGAAAGUGGAAAAUAUAAAAUGGCUAACGAGUCAAAUUUAUGAUGCGUAAGGGGGAUCAUGUCACAUAAGAAAACCAUGGCAUACUAAAGACGUACGUGUGGUAUGGAGUAAUAAUUUUGUUAAAAUAAGUUUCUUGUUGGAGUACAUUAGGUGACUAUUCAUAACGUAUCAAAUUAAAGAGUCAAGUGCAUCAAUGAAGGCAUAUGUAGAAAAUUUGUUUGUGACAUGUACCAUAAAGAUAAGAUUGACUUGAUAGAAUUUAGUCUAAGUAGGAGUUGUUAAAGGUGUCUUAAAUUUCUAAUUGAUGUAUAUUUUUUUCUAAAAAAAUAUUAUAUAGAUAUUUUAAUAAAUGAUUAAUUCUUUGUAAAAAUACUUACAUAAUAAAAAACAUCAUUAAAAAUAUCUUUAUAAAUAUUUUAAGUUACAAGAAGGAAAAAAACCACUGUGAGAUAAUGAUGAACAUGCAACACUGUACCAAGUAAAUAAAAAUGUGAUAAAAAAAAAAGAGAAACACUCGAUAAAGGAAGGCUCGUAUAUAAAGAGUAAUAUUUUUAAUCAUAUGAUAGAAUGAUUUUCUCUCAUUCAUGAAUAUAGGCAAGAUUGGGGAACCAUUAUAAAAUUUUGUACACCUCGUGUAAAUUGAUGUUUGUCUUCAUAUUUUACACCAACAAAUGACAUUGAAGUUGUCAUUGAUAAAAGGGAAAAGGCAUGCCUCCACACCAUGUGCUUGAUUCGAAUGGUUCAAGUUUGAAGAAUUUUCUCCGGAAGAUCUAAAACAUUUUCGCCUUUAAAUUUCAUUUGAUUAUUAAUAUCCGAAAAAAUAGUUAAAUACUCUUUCUAUUUUUGAGUUGUUGAAUUUUUUGAAAGUUUUUAUAUUUGUUAUCAAGAAUUUCUAUUUUAUUAAGGGUGAAUAUUUAUAAAUAAGAUAUUAUAUAAUAUUUGGAUAAGAGAGAAUGGUGGAAUAUAAUAAAGUUUUAAUCCUUCCCAAUUUUGAACCUUUUUUUUUUUUUUUGAUAUAAUCGCCUUUCUCUUGCAAUCCUAUUAUCAGGUACCUUAUAUUUGCUGAUGCUAUCUGGAACUAAAUUCCAAUCAGGCAUUGUCCAAUUACUAAUAGGACAGAUCAUAUCUCUCUGUUUCUAAACUAACAUGUAUCGUAAUGUGACCUCAUAAGGAAGGCUAGGAAGAUGGAGGAUUUUGUGGGAAGCGACCAGAAUCAGAUGGAAGAGAGAUAGCCCUGUUGACCUAAUGGCUGUAAUAGGAGAAGCGUGUGGUUUUAUGGGACUUAACUGAUACUAAACCUGUAUGAUGCUUGGAGUGGUGUUUCUUUCAUUUUGUUAAGAAAAUAUGGCAGCAUACAUGCUUUCAACUGAGUGCAUCAGAGCAUCCAUAACAGAUGGUCUGCAACCCUAGGUGCAUGCCACUUUCUGACUGAUAAUGAAAUUGUCAGGUACCUGGCCUUGACUAAGCUCAACAGCAUCACAUAAAGAGAAGCUUUCAUACUUAGAUUACUGUUUAAAGUUUUUGCUUAUUUGAUUUCUUAAUGCCAUUAUGACAUUAUUGAUUCAAUUCUGCUUCCGAUUUUCGAAGUUCUGGGCAUCUACUGAUUGCAUCAUUAUAUGAGAAGUUGCAUGAGUUUAUGUAUCCUGUUAUUGUUCCUUUGCGAUUUCACUGCUCACGGGACUAACCUCUCCAUUCAGUCGAAAUGAAUUGUAAUUUCUUUACUGGUAGCAGUAGUACUUUUCAUAGCAAAGAUAAUAGAAAAUAUGAAAUAUAAAUAGAAGGAAAUCUGGAUUGUAGAUAGCACCAUAAGUAACACUCAAUAUUCACUACAUAAUAAAUAGACAGUGUUACAUAGGUAGAGAAACCUACAAUGAGUACUCAUCACCAUUCUCAAACAGAAACAUAGCAGCGACUUAUACAUAGAACCUAUAGGCUCGCAGGGAAAGAGUAACAUGAUAAGUUCACAGCGGGUAGCAGCUCUUAUUUUACGUAUUACUCAAAAUCUCAAACUAACCAAAGUCACUCAGUUGGGAUGGGUAGGAGAUGGUGGUUUGUGGGGUGGCUUCUGGGUAGGAGCUGGUGGCUUCUUUGUUGGAGUUGAAGGAGGCAUAUUCUUCUGAGGUGGCUUGUAUGACUCUUCGGCACUCUCUGCAGGAGGGUGCCCAGGGUUGUGACCAGAAGGAGGUGGCUUCUGUCCCUUUGGUGGUUUGCCUAAUGGGCUUGGUGGCUUGUGCUCCGGGAGUUGUUUCUCUCCCUCGAGUAGGUUUCGAGUUUUGUCAGAUGGCUUGUGUUCUGGUGGUGGCUUCUCUCCCUGGGGUGGUUUGCCGAAUGGGCUUGGUGGCUUGUGUUCGGGGAGUGGCUUCUCUCCCUGGAGAAGGUUACGAGUUUUGUCAGAUGGCUUUUGUUCUGGUGGCGGCUUCUCUCCCUGGGGUGGUUUGCCAAAUGGGCUUGGUGGCUUGUGUUCGGGAACUGGCUUCUCUCCCUUGGGAGGUUCAUUUGGUGGCUGGUGUUCCGUAGGUGGUUCCUUCACCGGCGGCUUGUGCUCCGGAAGCGGCUUCUCUACCUGGAGAAGCUUACGAGUUUUGUCAGAUGGCUUGUGUUGUGGUGGUGGCUUCUCUCCCGGGGGUGGUUUGCCAAAUGGACUUGGUGGCUUGUGUUCGGGGAGUGGCUUCUCUCCAUGGGGAGGUUUAGUUGGUGGUUGGUGUUGCGUAGGUGGUUUCUGAAGUGGGGGAUGCUUGGGGUAGUCAGCAAUAGACGAGGUAGUGAGAACCACCAGUCCCAACAGCAACACUAGCAAGGAUGUUGAAGACAUCUUUGAGUUCAGGCUGAGAUCU
This 18065-nucleotide long non-coding RNA is filed under the name Vitis vinifera (wine grape). RNAcentral's name for it is "long non-coding RNA (VVIN_LNC001392)". The record is from RNAcentral. Lineage: Eukaryota; Viridiplantae; Streptophyta; Magnoliopsida; Vitales; Vitaceae.